ACGAAGACAGGAGCACUUUCCAGUACUCCUACUGUGUUACGACUUGUCUCAUUUUUCAACGAGAGUGACGGGCGAUUUGUGCACGAGAAUUUUUUUCUUCAAAAUAUAUUUCUCUAAUAAUUACUGUUAAGUCCAUCUUUGUUUUUGCUGUUACAUCUUUACUCCGAAAAAACUAUUUAUUGUAACUCACCUUACUGACCUUUAUAUGGGCUGCACCAUGACCUGUCUUAUAGAAUUUUUAUUCUUUUCGGGUCCUUCUCGAGAGGGCCCUAGACGGCGGUAUACAAACUUUGAAUAAAGGUGAUUUCUUUUGGGGGUUGUCAAUUACCUGGUAAGUUCCCCUAAAUUUUAUUCUCGCCGCCAUGUUCUUUAAGUUUUAGCCUUGCAUUAGGCAUUAGUGCUUAGAUUAUGUAUUUCUACUCCUUAUAGUAGGGUAUCUAAUCCUAGUUUAAUAAUGGAGUUUCAGGAAUAGGCCUUAGAGGAGAAAUCAAGAAAUUACUAUUUCACUAGUUAAUUAAUUUUUCUUAAGGCAUACCUCUAUCUAAAGAUCUCAGUUGUUUUAUAGGUAUGACCGCGACUGCUGGCACCUAAUUAGUCAAAUCAUUCAAACUAGAAUUAAAUUUCUAUUUCUAGAAUUGUUUAAUAUUUCUUGCUGGGUUAAAAUAGUCUCGAAAGCCUACCAUGCAAAGUUUCAUUUAUACUGAGAGUACAUCAGAACAAAGUUC
This 725-nucleotide ribosomal RNA is filed under the name Dolabella auricularia (sea hare). RNAcentral describes it as "12S ribosomal RNA". Lineage: Eukaryota; Metazoa; Mollusca; Gastropoda; Aplysiida; Aplysiidae. The record is from RNAcentral.